UACGUAGGCAGCGAGCGUUGUUCGGAAUUACUGGGCGUAAAGAGUGUGUAGGCGGUGCUCUAAGUUCGGUGUGAAAUCUCCCGGCUUAACUGGGAGGGUGCGCCGGAAACUGGAGUGCUCGAGCGUGGGAGAGGAAAGCGGAAUUCCUGGUGUAGCGGUGAAAUGCGUAGAUAUCAGGAGGAACACCUGCGGUGUAGACGGCUUUCUGGACCAUUACUGACGCUGAGGCACGAAAGCUAGGGGAGCAAACAGG
This 253-nucleotide ribosomal RNA is filed under the name uncultured bacterium. RNAcentral describes it as "partial 16S ribosomal RNA". It matches the Rfam family "Bacterial small subunit ribosomal RNA", at positions 524 to 776 of the family's 1533-position model. The record is from RNAcentral.